GCCGGGCAUGGUGGCUCAUGCCUGUAAUCCUAGCACUUUGGGAGGCUGAGGUGGGCGGAUCACUUGAGGUCAGGAGUUUGAGACCACCUGACCAACAUGGUGAAACCCCGUCUCUA
This 116-nucleotide non-coding RNA is filed under the name Homo sapiens (human). The record is from Rfam by way of RNAcentral. Lineage: Eukaryota; Metazoa; Chordata; Mammalia; Primates; Hominidae.